This 1667-nucleotide long non-coding RNA is filed under the name Canis lupus familiaris (dog). Its description in RNAcentral is "lncRNA (ENSCAFG00000051163.1)". Lineage: Eukaryota; Metazoa; Chordata; Mammalia; Carnivora; Canidae. The record is from RNAcentral.
UUUUUUUCUUUUUUUUUUUUUAAGAUUUUAUUUAUCUAUUUAUUCAGGAGAGACACACACAGAGAGAGAGAGGCAGAGACACAGGCAGAGGAAGAAGCAGCCUCCAUACAGGAAGCCUGAUGUGGGACGAGUCCUGGGACUCCAGGAUCAUGCCGUGGGCCAAAGGGCUAAACCAGUGAGUCGCCUAGGGAUCCCAUGGAUGUUGGAUUUCUAAUUUUUCCACAUCCAUGCCAACAAUUGGUGUCUUCAUUCCUUGUAAUUUUAGAUACUCUAAUAAGAUAUGUAGUGGCAUGUUUUGUGGUUUUAAUUUGUAUUACCUAGUGAUUAAUGACAAAUGCUGAUUUGCUGUACAUAUGUUUUCUCUGAUGAAGUUUAUGUAAAAAUCUUUUGCCUGUUUAUUAGUUUAUUUGACUUCUUAUAAUAAUAUCUGGAGAGUUUUUCAUAUGUUCUGGAAUAAAAUCUAUUAUUGGAUAUUUGAUGUACAAACACCUUUUCAUAUCUGUGGGUUUUUAAUUAUUCUCUUAGUGUCUUUUGAAAAGCAAAAAUAUUUAAUCGGGAUAAAGUCUAAUUUAUUGAUUUUUUUACAGAUCUUGCUUUCAGUGUCAUUUCUACGAAAUCUGCCUAACUCAAGACCACAUGGACUUUUUUUUCCUGUUUUAUUCCAAAAGCUUCACAGUUUUACAUUUAAAAUUUAGAUCUAUAAUCCAUUUUGUUAACUUUUGCAUAUAAUAAGAGAUAGGGAUUCAAGUUCACAUUUUUGCAUAUGAACAUCCGAUUGCUCCAAAACCAUUUGUAGGAAACACUAUUAUCCAAUGAAUUACUUUUGUAAAAAAUCAGUGGAUCUCUAUUCUGUUGCAUUAAUCCAUAUGUCUAUCUUUAUGCCACUAUCACAUUGGCACUAUAGCAUUCAAAUAAGUCUUGAUACCAGGUAGUAUAAUUCCUCCAACUUCACCCUUCCUUGCCUCUUCCAACUGCUGGUGGUUCCUGGAAUUCCUUGGCUUCUGGCAGCAUAACUUCAAUCUCUGCCUCGGUCUUCUCAUGUCUUUCUUUCCUGUGUCUAUGUGUACAUUUAUCUCUCCUUUCUCUUAUAAAGACACAAGUAACUGGAUUUAGGAUCUAAAUCCAAGAUUUCACCUCAAGAUCUUUAACCAAUUACACCUGCAAAGACUAUAAUUUGGGGGACACUAUUUAAAUCACUAUAGUAAGUCUUUGUACUUUGUGUAUCUUUCAGAUUUAUCCAUUUCAUCUAAAUUGUCAAAUCUGUUGGUAUGAAGUUAAUUAAUAAUAUUCACCUCUCACAUUCUUUUUUUUUUUUAAAAGAUUUUUAAUUUAUUUAUUUGACAGAGUGAAAGAGCACAGGCAAGGGGAGCAGCAGAGGAAGAGGGAGGAGCAGGCUCCCUACCAUUGAACUCAAUCUGAGGACCCUGGGAUCAUGUGUAACCAACUGACACCUAGGCACCCCUCACCUCUCACAUUCUUGAUAUUUGUGAUGUGUGUCUAUUUAUUUUUAUUCUAGAUCAAUCUGGCUAGAUGUUUAUCAAUUUUACUGAUAUUUUCAAAGAAUAAGUUUUUGGUUUCAUCGAUUUUCUCUUGUUUUUCUGUCUUCUAUUUCAUUGAGAGAUAUUACAUUGGAUCUUUAUUAUAUUCUAUCUUUUUUUUAAGAUUUU